RNAcentral lists this ribosomal RNA (580 nucleotides) under Duvalius microphthalmus. Its description in RNAcentral is "partial 16S ribosomal RNA". The stretch from base 339 to 497 matches the Rfam family "Bacterial large subunit ribosomal RNA", at positions 2473 to 2632 of the family's 2925-position model. The record is from RNAcentral. Lineage: Eukaryota; Metazoa; Arthropoda; Insecta; Coleoptera; Carabidae. RNAcentral also lists the same sequence under 1 other name.
AAUGGCUGCAGUAAAAUAACUGUACAAAGGUAGCAUAAUCAUUAGUUUUUUAAUUAAAAGCUUGUAUGAAAGGUUGGACGAAGUAAAAUCUGUCUCUUUUUAAUAUAAUUAGAAUUUAAUUUUUAAGUAAAAAAGCUUAAAUUUAUAUAAAAGACGAGAAGACCCUAUAGAGUUUAAUAAUUUAUUUUAAAUAAUUAAUUUAGAUUUAUUAAUUUUAUUUAUUGUAUAAUUAUUUUAUUGGGGUAAUAAAGAGAUUAAUAUAAUUCUUUUUUUUAUUUUACAUUAAUAUAUGAAUUAGAUGAUCCAUUUUUAUGAUUAAAAGAUUAAAUUACCUUAGGGAUAACAGCGUAAUUUUUUUAAAGAGUUCAUAUCGAUAAAAAAGUUUGCGACCUCGAUGUUGGAUUAAAGAUUAAUUUAGGUGUAGAAGUUUAAAUUUUUGGUCUGUUCGACCAUUAAAUCUUUACAUGAUCUGAGUUCAAACCGGUGUAAGCCAGGUUGGUUUCUAUCUUUAUAAAAUUUUUAUAUUUUAGUACGAAAGGACCAAAUAUUUAAUAUAUAAAUAUUUAAUUAUUUUGAAUAU